GGAAACUGAAGAGGAAGAUGAUACAAAUGAUGAGGACUUCAGUAUGGAAAUUAGGCAGUUUUCUUCUUCCUCCCAUCGCUUUUCAAAGGUCAAUUAAUUAUCUUUCUUGCAAACAAUACCAGUUAGUUUUUGUUGAUCUUUUCAGUCAUAAUUUAAAAUUCUCUCUUAAAUCUGAUAAUCUACUUUUUUUUUUUUUUUUUUAUUCCUUCUAACUAUUAUGCAUUACAAAAGAAAAUCAUUGCAUUUGGUCAGAAAAACCCACAUUCAUUGCAAUACAAAAUCUGAUUUUUCAUCUAUAGGUGUUUAGUAGCAUUGAUCAAUUAAUGCAAAGCAAAGUAGAAGAAAAGGAUGAUCCAGAAGAAAAAUCAAAGAACCUGAAUUUACCACCAGUGGAAUCACUAAGCUGGAGCUCUGAAUAUUCUGAAAUG
Molecule: non-coding RNA, 428 nt
Organism: Pelobates cultripes (western spadefoot toad)
Lineage: Eukaryota; Metazoa; Chordata; Amphibia; Anura; Pelobatidae
Source: the annotation of a GenBank genome assembly